Non-coding RNA from Podarcis lilfordi (Lilford's wall lizard), 211 nucleotides. Lineage: Eukaryota; Metazoa; Chordata; Lepidosauria; Squamata; Lacertidae. The record is from the annotation of a GenBank genome assembly.
GUGGUGUGUGUGUGUGUGUGUGUGUGUGUGUGUGUGUUUGUGUGUGUUGCCUGUUUCUCUAGCAGCAGGUGGUAGAAUUUGCAUUGCAUUGAAGUGGGUGUAGUGGCAAGGAUUGCAAAAAUAAAGAUUACAUCUCUGCUUCUCAAUAAUAUAACAAACAGUGCAAUCCUACACACACACACACACACACACACACACACACACACACUGU